AGUCGAGCGAUGAGAUCACUUCGGUGAAGGAUUAGCGGCGAACGGGUGAGGAACACGUGAAGAAUCUGCCUUCAACUCUGGGAUAACUCCGGGAAACCGGGGCUAAUACCGGAUAUGAGCCUUGAUCGCAUGAUCGGGGCUGGAAAGUUUUUCGGUUGAAGAUGACUUCGCGGCCUAUCAGCUUGUUGGUGAGGUAAUGGCUCACCAAGGCGACGACGGGUAGCCGGCCUGAGAGGGCGACCGGCCACACUGGGACUGAGACACGGCCCAGACUCCUACGGGAGGCAGCAGUGGGGAAUAUUGGGCAAUGGAGGAAACUCUGACCCAGCGACGCCGCGUGCGGGAUGAAGGCCUUCGGGUUGUAAACCGCUUUCAGCAGGGAAUAAGCGCAAGUGAAGGUACCUGCAGAAGAAGCACCGGCUAACUAUGUGCCAGCAGCCGCGGUAAUACAUAGGGUGCAAGCGUUGUCCGGAAUUAUUGGGCGUAAAGAGCUCGUAGGUGGUUUGUUACGUCGGUUGUGAAAUUCAGGGGCUCAACCCCUGACUUGCAGCCGAUACGGGCAAGCUAGAGUUUGGUAGGGGAGACUGGAAUUCCUGGUGUAGCGGUGGAAUGCGCAGAUAUCAGGAGGAACACCGAUGGCGAAGGCAGGUCUCUGGGCCAAUACUGACACUGAGGAGCGAAAGCGUGGGGAGCGAACAGGAUUAGAUACCCUGGUAGUCCACGCCGUAAACGGUGGGCGCUAGUUGUGCGAACCUUCCACGGUUUGUGCGACGCAGCUAACGCAUUAAGCGCCCCGCCUGGGGAGUACGAUC
Molecule: ribosomal RNA, 812 nt
Filed under: uncultured bacterium
Lineage: Bacteria
Description: bacterial SSU rRNA
Rfam family: Bacterial small subunit ribosomal RNA
Source: RNAcentral